GACGACGCUGGCGGCAUGCCUAACACAUGCAAGUCGAACGGUAAGGCCCCUUCGGGGGUACACGAGUGGCGAACGGGUGAGUAACACGCGGGUAACCUACCUUCUAUCGGGGAAUAGCUGAGGGAAACUUCAGGUAAUACCGCAUAAUGUGCCUUUUCAUAAGAAGAGGUACCAAAACUCCGGUGAUAGAAGAUGGGCCCGCGGAAGAUUAGCUUGUUGGUGGGGUAACGGCCUACCAAGGCAACGAUCUUUAGCUGGUCUGAGAGGACGAUCAGCCACACUGGAACUGAGACACGGUCCAGACUCCUACGGGAGGCAGCAGUGGGGAAUCUUGCGCAAUGGGCGAAAGCCUGACGCAGCAAUGCCGCGUGAGGGAAGACGGUCUUAGGAUUGUAAACCUCUUUCAGCAGGGACGAAACAAGACGGUACCUGCAGAAGAAGCCCCGGCUAACUACGUG
RNAcentral lists this ribosomal RNA (458 nucleotides) under uncultured bacterium. RNAcentral describes it as "bacterial SSU rRNA". It matches the Rfam family "Bacterial small subunit ribosomal RNA", at positions 33 to 507 of the family's 1533-position model. The record is from RNAcentral.